This 162-nucleotide ribosomal RNA is filed under the name Paphiopedilum henryanum. Its description in RNAcentral is "5.8S ribosomal RNA". It matches the Rfam family "5.8S ribosomal RNA". Rfam says of the family: 5.8S ribosomal RNA (5.8S rRNA) is a component of the large subunit of the eukaryotic ribosome. It is transcribed by RNA polymerase I as part of the 45S precursor that also contains 18S and 28S rRNA. The record is from RNAcentral. Lineage: Eukaryota; Viridiplantae; Streptophyta; Magnoliopsida; Asparagales; Orchidaceae. RNAcentral also lists the same sequence under 4 other names.
AACAACUCUCAGCAACGGAUAUCUCGGCUCUUGCAUCGAUGAAGAACGCAGCGAAAUGCGAUAAAUGGUGUGAAUUGCAGAAUCCCGUGAACCAUCGAGUCUUUGAACGCAAGUUGCGCCCGAGGCCAUCAGGCCAAGGGCACGCCUGCCUGGGCAUUGCGA